UACGAAGGGGGCUAGCGUUGCUCGGAAUUACUGGGCGUAAAGGGCGCGUAGGCGGACAGCUUAGUCAGAGGUGAAAGCCCAGGGCUCAACCUUGGAACUGCCUUUGAUACUGGCUAUCUUGAGUUCGGGAGAGGUGAGUGGAAUGCCGAGUGUAGAGGUGAAAUUCGUAGAUAUUCGGCGGAACACCAGUGGCGAAGGCGACUCACUGGCCCGAUACUGACGCUGAGGCGCGAAAGCGUGGGGAGCAAACAGG
RNAcentral lists this ribosomal RNA (253 nucleotides) under uncultured bacterium. Its description in RNAcentral is "partial 16S ribosomal RNA". It matches the Rfam family "Bacterial small subunit ribosomal RNA", at positions 524 to 776 of the family's 1533-position model. The record is from RNAcentral.